CCAGACUCCUACGGGAGGCAGCAGUGGGGGAUAUUGCACAAUGGGGGAAACCCUGAUGCAGCGACGCCGCGUGUGGGAAGACGGUCCUCUGGAUUGUAAACCACUGUCCCCAGGGACGAAGAUGACGGUACCUGACUAAGAAGCCCCGGCUAACUACGUGCCAGCAGCCGCGGUAAUACGUAGGGGGCAAGCGUUAUCCGGAUUUACUGGGUGUAAAGGGAGCGUAGACGGCGAUGCAAGUCUGAAGUGAAAGGCGGGGGCCCAACCCCCGGACUGCUUUGGAAACUGUAUAGCUGGAGUGCAGGAGAGGUAAGUGGAAUUCCUAGUGUAGCGGUGAAAUGCGUAGAUAUUAGGAGGAACACCAGUGGCGAAGGCGGCUUGCUGGACAGAGACUGACGUUGAGGCUCGAAAGCGUGGGGAGCAAACAGGAUUAGAUACCCUUGUAAG
RNAcentral lists this ribosomal RNA (447 nucleotides) under uncultured bacterium. RNAcentral's name for it is "partial 16S ribosomal RNA". It matches the Rfam family "Bacterial small subunit ribosomal RNA", at positions 331 to 793 of the family's 1533-position model. The record is from RNAcentral.